This 427-nucleotide ribosomal RNA is filed under the name uncultured bacterium. Its description in RNAcentral is "partial 16S ribosomal RNA". It matches the Rfam family "Bacterial small subunit ribosomal RNA", at positions 355 to 774 of the family's 1533-position model. The record is from RNAcentral.
UGGGGAAUAUUGCACAAUGGGCGCAAGCCUGAUGCAGCCAUGCCGCGUGUAUGAAGAAGGCCUUCGGGUUGUAAAGUACUUUCAGCGGGGAGGAAGGCGAUAAGGUUAAUAACCUUGUCGAUUGACGUUACCCGCAGAAGAAGCACCGGCUAACUCCGUGCCAGCAGCCGCGGUAAUACGGAGGGUGCAAGCGUUAAUCGGAAUUACUGGGCGUAAAGCGCACGCAGGCGGUCUGUCAAGUCGGAUGUGAAAUCCCCGGGCUCAACCUGGGAAUUGCAUUCGAAACUGGCAGGCUAGAGUCUUGUAGAGGGGGGUAGAAUUCCAGGUGUAGCGGUGAAAUGCGUAGAGAUCUGGAGGAAUACCGGUGGCGAAGGCGGCCCCCUGGACAAAGACUGACGCUCAGGUGCGAAAGCGUGGGGAGCAAACA